Molecule: ribosomal RNA, 900 nt
Filed under: Staphylococcus warneri
Lineage: Bacteria; Bacillati; Bacillota; Bacilli; Caryophanales; Staphylococcaceae
Description: bacterial SSU rRNA
Rfam family: Bacterial small subunit ribosomal RNA
Source: RNAcentral
GCUAUACUGCAAGUCGAGCGAACAGAUAAGGAGCUUGCUCCUUUGACGUUAGCGGCGGACGGGUGAGUAACACGUGGAUAACCUACCUAUAAGACUAGGAUAACUUCGGGAAACCGGAGCUAAUACCGGAUAACAUAUUGAACCGCAUGGUUCAAUAGUGAAAGGCGGCUUUGCUGUCACUUAUAGAUGGAUCCGCGCCGUAUUAGCUAGUUGGUAAGGUAACGGCUUACCAAGGCAACGAUACGUAGCCGACCUGAGAGGGUGAUCGGCCACACUGGAACUGAGACACGGUCCAGACUCCUACGGGAGGCAGCAGUAGGGAAUCUUCCGCAAUGGGCGAAAGCCUGACGGAGCAACGCCGCGUGAGUGAUGAAGGUCUUCGGAUCGUAAAACUCUGUUAUCAGGGAAGAACAAAUGUGUAAGUAACUGUGCACAUCUUGACGGUACCUGAUCAGAAAGCCACGGCUAACUACGUGCCAGCAGCCGCGGUAAUACGUAGGUGGCAAGCGUUAUCCGGAAUUAUUGGGCGUAAAGCGCGCGUAGGCGGUUUUUUAAGUCUGAUGUGAAAGCCCACGGCUCAACCGUGGAGGGUCAUUGGAAACUGGAAAACUUGAGUGCAGAAGAGGAAAGUGGAAUUCCAUGUGUAGCGGUGAAAUGCGCAGAGAUAUGGAGGAACACCAGUGGCGAAGGCGACUUUCUGGUCUGUAACUGACGCUGAUGUGCGAAAGCGUGGGGAUCAAACAGGAUUAGAUACCCUGGUAGUCCACGCCGUAAACGAUGAGUGCUAAGUGUUAGGGGGUUUCCGCCCCUUAGUGCUGCAGCUAACGCAUUAAGCACUCCGCCUGGGGAGUACGACCGCAAGGUUGAAACUCAAAGGAAUUGACGGGGACCCGCACAAGC